CCUACGGGUGGCAGCAGUGGGGAAUAUUGGGCAAUGGGCGCAAGCCUGACCCAGCAACGCCGCGUGAAGGAAGAAGGCCCUCGGGUUGUAAACUUCUUUUGUCAGGGACGAAUCAAGUGACGGUACCUGACGAAUAAGCCACGGCUAACUACGUGCCAGCAGCCGCGGUAAUACGUAGGUGGCAAGCGUGAUCCGGCUUUACUGGGUGUAAAGGGCGGGUAGGCGGGGAAGCAAGGCAGAUGUGAAAUUCCAGGGCUCAACACUGGAACUGCAUUUGAAACUGUUUGUCUUGAGUGAAGGAGAGGCAGGCGGAAUUCCGUGUGUAGCGGUGAAAUGCGUAGAUAUACGGAGGAACACCAGUGGCGAAGGCGGCCUGCUGGACAUUAACUGACGCUGAGGCGCGAAAGCGUGGGGAGCAAACAGGAUUAGAUACCCCAGUAGUC
RNAcentral lists this ribosomal RNA (443 nucleotides) under uncultured bacterium. Its description in RNAcentral is "partial 16S ribosomal RNA". It matches the Rfam family "Bacterial small subunit ribosomal RNA", at positions 338 to 795 of the family's 1533-position model. The record is from RNAcentral.